This 2983-nucleotide unclassified non-coding RNA is filed under the name Leishmania donovani. RNAcentral's name for it is "gene:LdHU3.35.3420(CDS-product:PHD-like_zinc-bind ing_domain_containing_protein_putative)". Lineage: Eukaryota; Euglenozoa; Kinetoplastea; Trypanosomatida; Trypanosomatidae. The record is from RNAcentral.
UCUCGAGUGCGCAUACCUACAGACGUGCACGACACAGGCAGGCGCCCUCAUCCUUGUAACCGCAGGACGCUGCAUUUCUCUCUCGCUUUGUGGGAGGUGUGCUGAGGCACACAAGUGGCACACAGACGGCGGAACAACAGCGAAAAAGACGUGACACAGCGCCACGGCAGCGCUAAAGAACGCCGCAGUAUCGCGUGCGGUCUUCGUCGAGACGCUUGCCGGUUGCCACCUCGUGCUCACCUACCGCGCCAACGCACCCAUAGAUGCACUCGCGUAGAUGCAACUCAUACACAUGAUUGCAGCAAACGAAUAUUUUUCACAACAACUCCGCCCCUUCCCCACCCCUCUACCUGGCACAGUAGGAGGUGCGCUUUCAACGAUGCCGCGCGUCCGCGUCGGCCUCCGACUGCGAUUCGUGAAGCUGCCGCACAUUGACGGCGAGCGCGUGUUUCGCGACGUCAUCAGCUUCGUAGAGCCAGAAGAUAGAAGCUAUGACGAUCUUCGCGCGUUGGUGGAGGCGAAGGUGAGGUUCAUGGAGCUCAGCCACUCCGACUUCACCGCUUUUCACAUCGAGGAGCACACUGGUGACCGUGUUGUUGUAGACACUGCUUACUUUAGUGCGCUGCUGCGGCAAUGGGCGCGCAGAGCGGCGAAGGAGCGUCCGCCGCCUAAGCGACCCACCGUACCAGAGAUGGCGGGGCUGGCGGUUCUCGGUGAGUCACCUUCGCCAUUUGUCAACUCUGAAUAUGAAGGCCACUUCGGAAGCGGCGGUAUGCCCACGGUGCCCACGAGCAACAUGAGCAGCGAUGACGACGUGGAGGACGAUGAGCGUCCACCGGACAUGUUGGAGUGCUUUGAAAUUGAGCUGCAGAGUAGUAAUUCUGUCGCUGUGGCUACAGCCGCCGCCAUCCCAAACCUGGCGUCGUCCGUGUCUGGUGCGAUGCCGUCACCGGUGCAGUUUGCCGCUCUCACGCGCGAGAACCUAGCGCGCCUGUGCGAUGGGGAUGUUGCGAAGUUGGGCGCAUCAGCCUUGCUCCCUGCAUCCGGGACUGCAUCACCUGGCAAACAGGCUGCUGGGAUAGACCCCCGCAGAGCCGCACCGAACUCCCAUCUGCCUGACCCUAAUGCCGAGGUCCUGGUGCGUGUUCGCGACCUGACGUGUCCGCCAGGGCAAGUCAAGUUCUACCUGUGCUGCAUCAUUCUUGCCGUGCGCUUUAAAACACCUAAGCCGGGGCUGACGGUCGCCGAGCUCGACCUGGGCGACGCCGAGGACGUCACGCAGGCAAUCACGGCAGUCUCGUUUGACGAGGUAGUUCACAAAGCCAUACGCGAUCACCUGCGCGGGGACCGCCGACAAGUUCUGGAGCUGCGUCAGGUGUACGUGCGGCGUAAGAACGACGUGGACGUACGCUACCAGACCAACGCGCACCCACUCCUGCUUCGCCUCGAUCGGUCGUCGAAAAUGGAGGUGGUGCGCAUCCUCGCAACGCCCGCACCGCAGCCAGGUAGCGGCGCCAUCGUCACGGUUCGGGAGCAGCUAGGCUCGGCAGGAGUGGUGGACGCGGCCCAGCUCAUGAGGCAGCCGCAGCGGUUGCGUCACGACUCCGGUGGUGCUAGUGGCGCUCCGUCGUCAGAGAACGGUGUCUCUCUCAGCGGCGUCGGCAGCGGCGCGUACCCGCCUGUGUGCUCGUCCUCAUCCUCCUCCUCGGGUCCGCGGCGAACGACCUUCACCAUGUGCACCACCAGCGGCAAUACCGGCGCGAGCGCGGCGCUCGUGAAUGGUGUCGUUCCGUCGAGCUUCGGACAGGAGUUGCGCAGUCGUCAAGAGAUGCUGCUGCGCCAGCAACGGUCGGCGGGUUCGGCACCGAUCGAGCCCGGGGUGGCGAUUGUCACUGCGCGCGAUGUUCGAGAGCGCGAGCCGCUGGUAGAGCAGCACGCCAACCGCGAGGAACAACGAAAGAUGCACAUUCGCCGUAAGGUGGAGGUAUCAACACAGUGUCUGCUCUGUGGGCUGGAUUGCAGCGACGAGUCGGCGUGCAUGGCGAUCGUCCGGCAGCAACUCAUGAGAAGCUCGCGCAACCGCGGCGCACAAGUGCCUAAUUUCGCGCAGGUGAAGCGCGACCUCUCGGACCGUCGGCGGGUGCCGGAAGGGAAAGUGCCGACGCGGCUCGUGUGCACACAUACCUUUGUGAACAGCGCCACUCGCACGGUCCACGUCGUUCACCCGCGCUGCGCACACUUGUGCUCCGCCUACCAAAGCGGGGGCGAGUUGGAAGAUAUCGUGGUGUGCGAUCUGAGGAUGAACGUGUGCACGCUUUGCGGGAUGCCCGGCGCGUGCGUGGCGUGCUAUCAUCCCCGAUGCACGGAGAUGUUCCACGUGGUGUGUGCCCUCUACAGCGGCGGCUACGUAAACUUCGGCCAGCGAGACCCCUUCUGGCCCUGCCCCGCCUGCCCGCGUCACACACAGGUGGUGGUCGUAUCGAAGAAGAGACCGGAGGGAAGCAACGUCUUGCACGUUGACCACAGCUGUUGGGAGGACGGAAUCGCCUUCGACUCGCGUGUGGUGGAGUCCACAGACCUCCGCGACCCGGACGAGAACGACGGAGAGUGAGCGCUCAGCCACACGUAAUUCUGCAGCGGAAAUGCAACCAAAGUAGCAGUGGAGAGAGCGGCUUCCUCGGUGCUGCUCGCUCCUGGCAUCGUCCCCGUCCCCCGUACACACGACACGUUCUGUUUUGUUCGUUUGCCGACGCCGGUUUUCAUAGACGCACCCCCCACCCUACCAAACAAAACGCAAGCGAUGCCACGUGCUGUGAUAUGCUGCUCACGACUGCCGUUCCUUUACCAUGAUUCCUUUUACGAAUGGAACGUCGGUCGCACGCGACGGGCCGUCGCCAUUCCGACACGCUCUCCUCUUUUAGUGCAACCGUUGUGCUUCUCUUUCUCUCCUGCGGGCUUGUUGAUCACACACGCACAUCCACAG